This 549-nucleotide ribosomal RNA is filed under the name Scheffersomyces stipitis. Its description in RNAcentral is "eukaryotic LSU rRNA". It matches the Rfam family "Eukaryotic large subunit ribosomal RNA", at positions 79 to 646 of the family's 3401-position model. The record is from RNAcentral. Lineage: Eukaryota; Fungi; Ascomycota; Pichiomycetes; Serinales; Debaryomycetaceae.
CUUAGUAACGGCGAGUGAAGCGGCAAAAGCUCAAAUUUGAAAUCUGGCACCUUCGGUGUCCGAGUUGUAAUUUGAAGAAGGUAACUUUGGAGUCAGCUCUUGUCUAUGUUCCUUGGAACAGGACGUCACAGAGGGUGAGAAUCCCGUGCGAUGAGAUGUCUGAUUCUAUGUAAAGUGCUUUCGAAGAGUCGAGUUGUUUGGGAAUGCAGCUCUAAGUGGGUGGUAAAUUCCAUCUAAAGCUAAAUAUUGGCGAGAGACCGAUAGCGAACAAGUACAGUGAUGGAAAGAUGAAAAGAACUUUGAAAAGAGAGUGAAAAAGUACGUGAAAUUGUUGAAAGGGAAGGGUUUGAGAUCAGACUUGGUAUUUUGUAUGUCUUGCUUUCGGGUGGGGCCUCUACAGUUUACUGGGCCAGCAUCGGUUUGGACGGUAGGAUAAUGACAUUGGAAUGUGGCACCACUUCGGUGGUGUGUUAUAGACUUUGUUGAUACUGCCUGUCUAGACCGAGGACUGCGUCUUUGACUAGGAUGCUGGCAUAAUGAUCUUAAACC